This 341-nucleotide unclassified non-coding RNA is filed under the name fungal sp. Its description in RNAcentral is "partial internal transcribed spacer region". The stretch from base 1 to 46 matches the Rfam family "Eukaryotic small subunit ribosomal RNA", at positions 1786 to 1831 of the family's 1831-position model. The record is from RNAcentral. Lineage: Eukaryota; Fungi.
AAGUCGUAACAAGGUUUCCGUAGGUGAACCUGCGGAAGGAUCAUUAACACGUAUCCAACGUUAAACAACCCUGUGAACUUUAAGUCCCCUCUUGCAGCCCAUGAGGAACAGCAAUCCCGGUAAAUCAUUGCCAGUUUUGAUUCCUCUGUCCAAAAGGAGUUGUGGAAGCAGUGGCAUGGCUUCCCCAAGCAGUUAGUGAAUGACAGUGUCACUGACUGUGUAAUCACGGUUGCUAGAGGUCGAUCACCGACCGGCAGACAUGUCACAGGGUCACCACCUCCACUUGAAAAUGCAGGUAAAAAAAAACCGAACAACUGUUAACAAUGGAUAUCUUGGUUCUC